Cinara cedri is the source of this 217-nucleotide non-coding RNA. The record is from the annotation of a GenBank genome assembly. Lineage: Eukaryota; Metazoa; Arthropoda; Insecta; Hemiptera; Aphididae.
AACGCUCUUUCUCUCAUACACUUAGAACGUGCAUUGCGGUAUUCAGGUCGAACUUUAAACACGAGUUUAAACACGAAUAACCAAAUUUAAAGAGGAGAAUAUUUUCGAUGUCUGUACGUAGAUUUUUCGAAAAUAAAUUGCCAUAAAAAAAGUUACAGUCAUUUUAUUGAAAAUAGCUUUAAUUCUUUAAAAUUUCGAUUCUGUGCGUAGUCCAGGG